Molecule: ribosomal RNA, 201 nt
Filed under: uncultured bacterium
Lineage: Bacteria
Description: partial 16S ribosomal RNA
Rfam family: Bacterial small subunit ribosomal RNA
Source: RNAcentral
GUAGUCUGCAACCCGACUACAUGAAGCUGGAAUCGCUAGUAAUCGCGAAUCAGAAUGUCGCGGUGAAUACGUUCCCGGGUCUUGUACACACCGCCCGUCACACCAUGGGAGUUGGAAAUGCCCGAAGUCAGUGACCCAACCGCAAGGAGGGAGCUGCCGAAGGCAGGUCCGGUAACUGGGGUGAAGUCGUAACAAGGUAAC